CUUGAACUUUAUAAGAGGUCCAGCCUGCCCAGUGACUCUGUUCAACGGCCGCGGUAUCCUAACCGUGCGAAGGUAGCGUAAUCACUUGUUCUUUAAAUGUGGACUAGUAUGAAUGGCACUACGAGGGUUACACUGUCUCCUUUCUCUAAUCAGUGAAACUAAUUUUCCCGUGAAGAAGCGGGAAUACACCUAUAAGACGAGAAGACCCUAUGGAGCUUUAGACAAUCCAGCAAUUACUUUUUAAAUUAUAAAUUUCAGAAUGUUCAUUUUUUAAGUAAUGUGACUGCAAGUUUUUGGUUGGGGUGACCAUGGAGAAUAACACAACCUCCAUAUUGAAUGAAUUUUAUUUUAAGCUAAAAAUUACUUAUUAAAGCAUCAACACACUGACAUUUAUUGACCCAAUAUA
This 406-nucleotide ribosomal RNA is filed under the name Rhinella sp. ROM40103. Its description in RNAcentral is "partial 16S ribosomal RNA". It matches the Rfam family "Bacterial large subunit ribosomal RNA", at positions 1835 to 2427 of the family's 2925-position model. Lineage: Eukaryota; Metazoa; Chordata; Amphibia; Anura; Bufonidae. The record is from RNAcentral.